This is a long non-coding RNA of Engraulis encrasicolus (European anchovy), 515 nucleotides long. RefSeq lists it as uncharacterized. The record is from RefSeq and is a predicted model, not a curated record. NCBI's taxonomy places the organism in Eukaryota, Metazoa, Chordata, Actinopteri, Clupeiformes, Engraulidae. The transcript has 2 exons.
AUACUCUGACAGGCGCGUCGGGGGCUUUUAUACUCACAGGACAGUGACGUCAUCACACCCUAUCCAGUUUUGGUCAUGGUUUCAACAAAACUGUUGACUUUGGCAUUGUGACAUUUUUUGGGGUAGGCGUCACAAUGAUCGAUGGGACAACACAUGGGAAUCACUUUAAUCCAGUAAAGGUCACCUGUGUCGGCUAUGGCUGAUGCGCAGUGAAACGCCGAGACCAAGACAAUGACGUCACAAUGCCAAAGUCAACAGUUUUUGAAAACCAGACCAAAAAUCUUCAGGCUGCGAUGACGUCACCGCCCUGCGAGUAUAAAAGGUCUCGCCGCACCUGUCAGAGUAUCAUUAGCAAUAAUGGCACGCCGCAGACGUUCUCCUUCUUCCAAGGCCGCCAAGAGGCGCAACAGGCGCACAAAGAAGAGAGCAGGCAGGAGGAGGAGACGCUAAACUAUCAGGUAUAGUUCCCUCGGUGUGUCUGAAAAUCUCAAUAAAAUGUUGAGAAUUUAACACAA